GUUCAUUUGUAGACUCUGCGCAGUGACCUCUGCAGAACAUACACUCGAUAGCAGCACACGGAGGAGGAGCACUGCAAACUGGGGCUCUCGCUCUGCAGAGCUCUGGAGCCUGCGCUCCCCUUCAGAAUGAGGACAGUCGCCUUACAGCCGAUGGCUUCCAGUAGCAGACCUAAGCCUGACGUCUUCCUUUCAGCUUGGCAAAUAGGAGAAGCACAUGAGGUCACCUGGCUUGCAGCUCAAGUCUAACUUGGAGGUCCCUGGAGGAGCACAGACGGUUUAACCACUUUAACAAGCUGCGGUGUCCAGAGGCCUUUACAACUUGCAAAGAACAGACUGCUUGAGCCGGAGCACUGACUCUUCCAAUUCCUCUCGAGUUAUCCCGAGCUACCGAAAUCGGCGUGUGUGUUUUCGCGCUGAGUUGAUGUACCCCUUUUGGUUACAUUUCUACGAGUCGGACUAACGAGAACGGAGCCCUCCGCGUUUCUGCCGCUCUCCAUUCGCUCCUGCAGCCCCCCCCGGCCGUAGCGCUCCGUACGGACCCACCGGUCGGGCCCCGACGGCAGCGCACUGCGGGCAGCCCCGGCCGCAGCCCCUCCGCCGUUCUCUCUCCGUCCGAGGUCGUUUCUCUCUCUCUCCUUUGCAAACGUUUUCCUAAAAAUAAAACUUCCACAGAAAUGUUUUAAGACGAGGUUCGCGAGGAAACGGUUUAAUUUUCACCAUAUGUCGCCACAGAUUAAAGAAAAAAAAAAAAAAUCUUUCCGCUGAAGCUACCAAAACCAAAAAAAAAGACUUAAUCUAAGAAUGCGUUCUCCUUAAUCCGUCCUCCCCCCAACACCCUGUGGGCCAUUUUACGGGCUCCAAAUAAAUCUUUCAGGUGGCAGCGAGGCGAAGAAGCGGCGCAGUGAUGACGGAGGAGCAGCCCCUGCCCCGCGUUAAUGCCACCGACGGGUGGGUCCGCGGCAGCCGCCCACCGCCGGGACGGAGGGACCCAUCUGAAUGAAAAUCUAUUAGCCCUCCUCUCAGAGACGGGAGCCGCGGAAAUCGAUAAAGAGCAGAGAAAGGGAACAAGGCGCAG
RNAcentral lists this long non-coding RNA (1075 nucleotides) under Gallus gallus (chicken). RNAcentral describes it as "lncRNA (ENSGALG00010003226.1)". Lineage: Eukaryota; Metazoa; Chordata; Aves; Galliformes; Phasianidae. The record is from RNAcentral.